Molecule: long non-coding RNA, 749 nt
Organism: Triticum dicoccoides
Lineage: Eukaryota; Viridiplantae; Streptophyta; Magnoliopsida; Poales; Poaceae
Exons: 3
Source: RefSeq, a predicted model, not a curated record
AGCGCGAACCGGAGGAGCCGCACAGAACCCGAGCCGGCCCUCCCAUCGGCGCCGCCGCCCCUCCCCGUCCGCUAGGGUUGAGGUCGCCCAGCCAUCUCCGCUGCGCCACCUCCGCCAGCAGGGUGGGCUCCUCCAGCGGCAAGGUGCUCCGGCAGUCCGGCAUGAAGGUGCUCCGGUGUGCCCCUGUUGAUCUCCUCCUCGUGCAAAAAUGACAUCAGCAACCAGGUCGUAGUAGUAUGGCAAAGUAGGCGAGGCAUUCUGAAUCUACAGGAUGUGUGACAGUUAAAACUUUAGUGGUAAGCAAAUGAUAAAGUUGCCCAGGUCAUGUGCAAAGCGAGUCACCCGAGGCCUGAACAUACAUAUAGAGGAUUUGUUUGUUUCAAGUGGGGAAGGAUAUGAUAUCAAAGUGAACAAGAAAGCAGUGUUGAAGACGGACAGUAGUAUACAUACCUGCACCCUGUUGGCCUCUUUGGCGUUUCUGAGCAUGUCGAUGUUUUCCUCCCUAAUGAAAUGGCUUUGAUCCCUAAUCUCCACACCCUAUUGCAGUGAACAGAGCGCGCACACACAGUCACACACACAAGAUAAUUCAGAUGAAGUAUGCCAAAUUCUUCUCGGAUGGACAACUUUGCUUGAUUAUGAAAUCCUGCUAUAAAAACUGUAUUCACUGCUGCUGCUGUACUACUUGUGAUGAUGUUGCUGCUGUACUACUUGUGAUGCUGUUGCUACUGCAGAGUUGAUCAUUAUAUUCA